AGGCGAUUAGUUUAAGAGAUUAAUUGAUUGACGAUAAUCACAGAAGAAGCACCGGCUAACUCCGUGCCAGCAGCCGCGGUAAUACGGAGGGUGCGAGCGUUAAUCGGAAUGACUGGGCGUAAAGGGCACGCAGGUGGUGACUUAAGUGAGGUGUGAAAUCCCCGGGCUUAACCUGGGAACAGCAUUUCAGACUGGGUGACUAGAGUACUUUAGGGAGGGGUAGAAUUCCACGUGUAGCGGUGAAAUGCGUAGAGAUGUGGAGGAAUACCGAAGGCGAAGGCAGCCCCUUGGGAAGAUACUGACGCUCGAGUGCGAAAGCGUGGGGAGCAAACAGGAUUAGAUACCCUGGUAGUCCACGCUGUAAACGAUGUCGAUUUGGGGAUUGGGUGAACACUUGGUGCCCGA
RNAcentral lists this ribosomal RNA (405 nucleotides) under Histophilus somni. RNAcentral's name for it is "bacterial SSU rRNA". It matches the Rfam family "Bacterial small subunit ribosomal RNA", at positions 443 to 849 of the family's 1533-position model. The record is from RNAcentral. Lineage: Bacteria; Pseudomonadati; Pseudomonadota; Gammaproteobacteria; Pasteurellales; Pasteurellaceae.